CGCUCAACCUACCUCCCUCACCCACUCACUAGGGUUACAAUUACAAACUCCGUCUCCUUUCUCCAGCCGCCACCACCCUCUUGCUAUUUACAACAUUCUAUUUUAACAUUCAUUCAUUCCAAAUUCUGUACCAAUAUGUAGCCAAUUGUUUUGCCAUGCUCGUUUUCAGCACAGUACAUACAUAAUGUACUGCCUUUUUCUCUUUGUAUAACAUGCAAUUUUACUCUCUUCCUCACAAUAUCAGAUCUGGUCUAAUCUUGCACUUUCAUAGCAGUUGUUUUUUCUAUAAUUAACAGUGCAAUGGAGGAUGAUAUGUGCGUUAUCCACCGUUUGCUCCAAUGGAUUGCUCAUUCGUGCCAGCUUUGUUAUUAUAUCAACCUGACAUUAUGUGCGCAUACGAUACAAUGUGGAAGCGAUCAGAAAAAAUGAGGCUUAGAUGGUUUAAAAAUGUAGUUUUAAGAUGAUUGACUAUGCAGUUUAGCAAUUCCUUUGUAAUUUUGUAAUGUAAAUGUAAGAUGACUUGUUUUGAUUCCUUUACAAAGUGAAAUAACAUCAACUCUUUGGAUGUAAAUGUAAUUGUUUGAUUUGAACAAUUACAUUGUUCAAAUCAAAUAUGUAAUUUGAUUUGAAAACAUGCGAAGGUUUUUUUUUUCGUAUCCUUUUUGUAACACUUCACAAACACAAAUAUGUAAUUUAAUAACACCAAAAUCAAUUUAAGUCAUCA
Medicago truncatula (barrel medic) is the source of this 724-nucleotide long non-coding RNA. RefSeq lists it as uncharacterized. NCBI's taxonomy places the organism in Eukaryota, Viridiplantae, Streptophyta, Magnoliopsida, Fabales, Fabaceae. The record is from RefSeq and is a predicted model, not a curated record. The transcript has 3 exons.